UGGGGCGAACGAUGGGGCUCGAACCCACGACAUCCAGGACCACAACCUGGCGCUCUACCAGCUGAGCUACGUCCGC
RNAcentral lists this transfer RNA (76 nucleotides) under Acidiphilium sp. PM. Its description in RNAcentral is "tRNA-His". Lineage: Bacteria; Pseudomonadati; Pseudomonadota; Alphaproteobacteria; Acetobacterales; Acidocellaceae. The record is from RNAcentral.